RNAcentral lists this ribosomal RNA (465 nucleotides) under uncultured bacterium. RNAcentral describes it as "partial 16S ribosomal RNA". It matches the Rfam family "Bacterial small subunit ribosomal RNA", at positions 28 to 507 of the family's 1533-position model. The record is from RNAcentral.
GAUGAACGCUGGCGGCGUGCUUAACACAUGCAAGUCGAACGGAAAGGCUCCUGCUUGCAGGGGUACUCGAGUGGCGAACGGGUGAGUAACACGUGGGUGAUCUGCCCUGCACUUCGGGAUAAGCCUGGGAAACUGGGUCUAAUACCGGAUAGGACCACAUUUUGGAUGGUGUGGUGGAAAGUUUUUCGGUGUGGGAUGAGCUCGCGGCCUAUCAGCUUGUUGGUGGGGUAAUGGCCUACCAAGGCGUCGACGGGUAGCCGGCCUGAGAGGGUGUACGGCCACAUUGGGACUGAGAUACGGCCCAGACUCCUACGGGAGGCAGCAGUGGGGAAUAUUGCACAAUGGGCGCAAGCCUGAUGCAGCGACGCCGCGUGGGGGAUGACGGCCUUCGGGUUGUAAACUACUUUCGCUAGGGACGAAGCGAAAGUGACGGUACCUGGAGAAGAAGCACCGGCUAACUACGUG